RNAcentral lists this long non-coding RNA (202 nucleotides) under Gossypium barbadense (sea-island cotton). RNAcentral's name for it is "long non-coding RNA (GBAR_LNC009624)". Lineage: Eukaryota; Viridiplantae; Streptophyta; Magnoliopsida; Malvales; Malvaceae. The record is from RNAcentral.
UAAUAUUAAAAGAUAUAUAUAUAUAAAAUGUAUACAUAAUAUAAUAUUAAAAUAUUUACAUGGUAUAUACAUAAUAAUGUAAAAAAUAAACUAUUAGUAAUAUUAUAAAUAUAUACAUAUAGUAGUAAUAAUAAUAUAAAGGUAUUUCAUAUAAACAGGUAUGCACGUGAAAAAAAAGAAAAGAGAAAAAUAAUAAUUACAA